This 297-nucleotide ribosomal RNA is filed under the name uncultured bacterium. RNAcentral's name for it is "partial 16S ribosomal RNA". It matches the Rfam family "Bacterial small subunit ribosomal RNA", at positions 775 to 1067 of the family's 1533-position model. The record is from RNAcentral.
GGAUUAGAUACCCUGGUAGUCCACGCCGUAAACUAUGAGUGCUAGGUGUUCAAAGGGUCUCGGUUCCCUUGAGCGCCGACGCUAACGCAAUAAGCACUCCGCCUGAGUAGUACGGCCGCAAGGCUAAAACUCAAAGGAAUAGACGGGGGCCCACACAAGCGGUGGAGCAUGUGGUUUAAUUCGACAGUAAGCGAGGAACCUUACCUAGGCUUGACAUCCCGAGAACUUUAUCGAAAGGUAGAGGUGCCGCAAGGAACUCGGAGACAGGUGCUGCAUGGUUGUCGUCAGCUCGUGCCG